AUGAUGCCGCUGCUUGCUGUGCAAUGCCGACUCACGCGAGGAAGAACGACGUCUUGACUGC
This 61-nucleotide small nucleolar RNA is filed under the name Trypanosoma cruzi. RNAcentral's name for it is "C/D small nucleolar RNA (snoRNA)". Lineage: Eukaryota; Euglenozoa; Kinetoplastea; Trypanosomatida; Trypanosomatidae. The record is from RNAcentral.